Molecule: ribosomal RNA, 214 nt
Filed under: Pseudo-nitzschia fraudulenta
Lineage: Eukaryota; Bacillariophyta; Bacillariophyceae; Bacillariales; Bacillariaceae
Description: partial Bacterial large subunit ribosomal RNA
Rfam family: Bacterial large subunit ribosomal RNA
Source: RNAcentral
GGGGACGGAGAAGGCUAUGUUGGCCGGGCGACGGUUGUCCCGGUUUAAGCAUGUAGGCAGUGGGAUUAGGCAAAUCCGGUCCCACAAUGCCGAGACGCGACGACGACUGCCCUUUUAGGGCGGGAAGUCAUUGAUGCCCUGCUUCCAGGAAAAUCUUCUAAGCUUCAGGUUACAACAAACCGUACCCCAAACCGACACAGGUGGUCAGGUAGAG